GGCCAGAUAGCUCAGUCGGUAGAGCAGAGGAUUGAAAAUCCUCGUGUCGGUGGUUCGAUUCCACCUCUGGCCACCA
This 76-nucleotide transfer RNA is filed under the name Pseudomonadales bacterium. RNAcentral describes it as "tRNA-Phe". It matches the Rfam family "tRNA". Rfam says of the family: Transfer RNA (tRNA) molecules are approximately 80 nucleotides in length. RNAcentral also lists the same sequence under 2 other names. The record is from RNAcentral. Lineage: Bacteria; Pseudomonadati; Pseudomonadota; Gammaproteobacteria; Pseudomonadales.